RNAcentral lists this ribosomal RNA (344 nucleotides) under Ixodes cumulatimpunctatus. Its description in RNAcentral is "partial small subunit ribosomal RNA". The record is from RNAcentral. Lineage: Eukaryota; Metazoa; Arthropoda; Arachnida; Ixodida; Ixodidae.
AUUAUUAAAAGCUUUAUAUUGAGAGUAUAUAUAAAUUAUGAAAUCAAAAAAUUUUGGCGGUAUUUUAAGCUUUUUAGAGGAAUUUGCUCUGUGAUGGAUAAAACGCCUAGAUCUUACUUAAUUUUGUUAAAUCAGUUUGUAUACCACUAUAGUUCAAUUAUAUUAAAUAAUUAUAUUUACAAUUUUUAUAUAAAAAAUAUAUUAAGUCAUGGUGCAACAUAAAAUUAUGUAUGAAGUGAAUUACAAUGAUUGUUAUUGAUAAUUAAUGAAAUUAUGAAAAAUAUAGAAUUUAAAAGUAAAGUAUUAAUAUAAUGGAUAUUUGAAUAAAGCUCUAAAAUAUGCAC